Molecule: ribosomal RNA, 523 nt
Filed under: uncultured Sphingobacterium sp.
Lineage: Bacteria; Pseudomonadati; Bacteroidota; Sphingobacteriia; Sphingobacteriales; Sphingobacteriaceae
Description: bacterial SSU rRNA
Rfam family: Bacterial small subunit ribosomal RNA
Source: RNAcentral
GAGUUUGAUCUUGGCUCAGGAUGAACGCUAGCGGCAGGCCUAAUACAUGCAAGUCGAGGGGCAGCGCGGGUAGCAAUACCUGGCGGCGACCGGCGCACGGGUGCGUAACACGUAUACAAUCUGCCUUUAACAGGGGGAUAGCCCGGAGAAAUCCGGAUUAAUACCCCAUAAUAUAUUGAGUGGCAUCACUUGAUAUUGAAAGCUCCGGCGGUUAGAGAUGAGUAUGCGCCUGAUUAGUUAGUUGGUGAGGUAACGGCUCACCAAGACUUCGAUCAGUAGGGGAUCUGAGAGGACUACCCCCCACACGGAUACUGAGACACGGAUCCGACUCCUACGGGAGGGCAGCAGUAAAGGAAUAAUUGGACGAAUAGCCCGCAAGGGUGGAUCCAGCCAUGCCGCGUGCAGGAAGACGGCCCUAUGGGUUGGUAAACUAGCUUUUACUACCGGAGAAAACCCCUUACUCGUGAGGAGGGCUGAUAGUAUGGUGAGAAUAAAGCAUCGGCUAAACUUCGUGCCAGCCGCC